CAGUGUUCUCUGCCCUCACGGGUAGGAUCGCCCACCCUUGAAUAUGAUGUUUGUUGCUUUGGCGGGCCACGAGGCCUAGCCGCGCCUCCGCUUCGGUGGGGGAGCGCCCGCCAGAGGACCCCAAACCCUGAAUAUUAGUGUCGUCUGAGUACUAUAAAAUACUUA
Molecule: unclassified non-coding RNA, 165 nt
Filed under: uncultured Helotiales
Lineage: Eukaryota; Fungi; Ascomycota; Leotiomycetes; Helotiales
Description: sequence contains ITS1
Source: RNAcentral